UUAUUAAACUAUAAAAUCAAAUUUUAAUAAAAUUUUUCUUUCUGCUUUUACUUGGUGUUUAAAAUAAAUAAAAGAUAUUUUAGAUAUUAAAAAAAAAGCAGAUAUCUUAUAUUAAUCUUUAUUUUUAUUAAACUAAGAUAUAAUUUAAAUUGAAAAAGUA
RNAcentral lists this transfer RNA (160 nucleotides) under Polytrichum juniperinum. RNAcentral's name for it is "partial tRNA-Ser". The record is from RNAcentral. Lineage: Eukaryota; Viridiplantae; Streptophyta; Polytrichopsida; Polytrichales; Polytrichaceae.